ACCAGCCUGUGAGGAUGCGUGUAGCAGAGUCUCGUACUCCUUUUCAAAGAGUAUAAAGGAUAUAGUCUAGCAGCGAUCGGGAGCGACUAACUCCUCCAGUCGGACUGUGGAAUUAAAACUGCUUUGCAGAAUAGUAAUAUAAAAACUGAAAUCAAACUCUCUUCUGAGCUUCUAGUCAAGUUGAAUGUUAGCCAGCUAGAGGUAGGUAUCAGCCUCUUGUUUCUCCCUGAAUGAUUCUUCUCAAAGUAAAGAAUGGCAAGAGUAGAACCUGGCAAAGAUUUUGGAAUCUUCUUCCAAGAACUGGAGAACAUGAUCAAGCAUCACCCUCAGGGCACCAUGUUCAAAACUUCAUUUACUAGCAUUGUAAAUGAACUCAUUCUCUAAUUAGCAACUUGGAGUCUAAGAAGAAAAAGAC
Molecule: long non-coding RNA, 415 nt
Organism: Nothoprocta perdicaria
Lineage: Eukaryota; Metazoa; Chordata; Aves; Tinamiformes; Tinamidae
Exons: 3
Source: RefSeq, a predicted model, not a curated record